CGGCGUGCUUAACACAUGCAAGUCGAGCGGGGACAGAUGACUUCGGUUGUCUGUUCUAGCGGCGGACGGGUGAGUAACGCGUGAACAAUCUGUCCCAGACAGGGGGAUAACACUUGGAAACAGGUGCUAAUACCGCAUAAGACCACGAGGCGACAUCGCCAUGGGGUAAAAGGAGCAAUCCGGUCUGGGGUGAGUUCGCGUCCGAUUAGCUAGUUGGUGAGGUAACGGCCCACCAAGGCGACGAUCGGUAGCCGACCUGAGAGGGUGAUCGGCCACAUUGGAACUGAGAAACGGUCCAAACUCCUACGGGAGGCAGCAGUGGGGAAUAUUGGGCAAUGGGCGAAAGCCUGACCCAGCAACGCCGCGUGAAGGAAGAAGGUUUUCGAAUUGUAAACUUCUGUCCUAAGUGAAGAAGGAAGUGACGGUAGCUUAGGAGGAAGCCCCGGCUAACUACGUGCCAGCAGCCGCGGUAAUACGUAGGGGGCAAGCGUUGUCCGGAAUGACUGGGCGUAAAGGGCGUGUAGGCGGCCGAUUAAGUCUGGAGUGAAAGUCCUGCUUUCAAGGUGGGAAUUGCUUUGGAGACUGGUUGGCUUGAGUGCGGAAGAGGUAAGUGGAAUUCCCAGUGUAGCGGUGAAAUGCGUAGAGAUUGGGAGGAACACCAGUGGCGAAGGCGACUUACUGGGCCGUAACUGACGCUGAGGCGCGAAAGCGUGGGGAGCGGACAGGAUUAGAUACCCUGGUAGUCCACGCUGUAAACGAUGAAUGCUAGGUGUUGCGGGUAUCGACCCCUGCAGUGCCGCAGUAAACACAAUAAGCAUUCCGCCUGGGGAGUACGGCCGCAAGGUUGAAACUCAAAGGAAUUGACGGGGGCCCGCACAAGCAGUGGAGUAUGUGGUUUAAUUCGAAGCAACGCGAAGAACCUUACCAGGUCUUGACAUCGUAUGCAUAACAUAGAGAUAUGUGAAAUCCCUUCGGGGACAUAUAGACAGGUGGUGCAUGGUUGUCGUCAGCUCGUGUCGUGAGAUGUUGGGUUAAGUCCCGCAACGAGCGCAACCCCUAUUUUUAGUAGCCAGCAGGUAAAGCUGGGCACUCUAGAGAGACUGCCAGGGAUAACCUGGAGGAAGGUGGGGAUGACGUCAAAUCAUCAUGCCCCUUAUGAUUUGGGCUACACACGUGCUACAAUGGCGUAAACAAAGGGAAGCGAUCACGUGAGUGUGAGCAAAUCUCAAAAAUAACGUCCCAGUUCGGAUUGUAGUCUGCAACUCGACUACAUGAAGCUGGAAUCGCUAGUAAUCGCGAAUCAGCAUGUCGCGGUGAAUACGUUCCCGGGUCUUG
This 1335-nucleotide ribosomal RNA is filed under the name uncultured bacterium. RNAcentral describes it as "bacterial SSU rRNA". It matches the Rfam family "Bacterial small subunit ribosomal RNA", at positions 40 to 1383 of the family's 1533-position model. The record is from RNAcentral.